UACGAAGGGUGCUAGCGUUGUUCGGAAUUACUGGGCGUAAAGCGCGCGUAGGCGGCUAUUCAAGUCAGGGGUGAAAUCCUUGGGCUCAACCCAAGAAUUGCCUUUGAAACUGUAUAGCUGGAGUGUCGGAGGGGAUAGCGGAAUUGCUAAUGUAGAGGUGAAAUUCGUAGAUAUUAGCAGGAACACCGGUGGCGAAGGCGGCUAUCUGGACGACAACUGACGCUGAGGCGCGAAAGCGUGGGGAUCAAACAGG
Molecule: ribosomal RNA, 253 nt
Filed under: uncultured bacterium
Lineage: Bacteria
Description: partial 16S ribosomal RNA
Rfam family: Bacterial small subunit ribosomal RNA
Source: RNAcentral